This 286-nucleotide ribosomal RNA is filed under the name Salmonella enterica subsp. enterica serovar Rubislaw. Its description in RNAcentral is "partial 16S ribosomal RNA". It matches the Rfam family "Bacterial small subunit ribosomal RNA", at positions 685 to 970 of the family's 1533-position model. Lineage: Bacteria; Pseudomonadati; Pseudomonadota; Gammaproteobacteria; Enterobacterales; Enterobacteriaceae. RNAcentral also lists the same sequence under 10 other names. The record is from RNAcentral.
AAUGCGUAGAGAUCUGGAGGAAUACCGGUGGCGAAGGCGGCCCCCUGGACAAAGACUGACGCUCAGGUGCGAAAGCGUGGGGAGCAAACAGGAUUAGAUACCCUGGUAGUCCACGCCGUAAACGAUGUCUACUUGGAGGUUGUGCCCUUGAGGCGUGGCUUCCGGAGCUAACGCGUUAAGUAGACCGCCUGGGGAGUACGGCCGCAAGGUUAAAACUCAAAUGAAUUGACGGGGGCCCGCACAAGCGGUGGAGCAUGUGGUUUAAUUCGAUGCAACGCGAAGAACC